GGCUGCUGGAUCCGAUCACCACCUGGACAGUGCCCUGUUAACAGAUCUGCGUUAACCAACAAAUACAGAUCUGUAUUAACCAAAGAGCUGCUUGGUUUGCAGAUGACAGUUCCAAGAUGGAUGAAUGGCAUCCUGUCUGGAAGGCCACCACACUAAGACUGGCAGAUUGAAAGGCUCUGUUUGAAGAAGAAAUUGCCAACAAGAUCUGGUCUGGUCUGUGUGCCAA
RNAcentral lists this long non-coding RNA (226 nucleotides) under Homo sapiens (human). RNAcentral's name for it is "HSALNT0375758". Lineage: Eukaryota; Metazoa; Chordata; Mammalia; Primates; Hominidae. The record is from RNAcentral.